Ostrinia furnacalis (Asian corn borer) is the source of this 996-nucleotide RNA transcript. RefSeq lists it as uncharacterized. The transcript has 6 exons. Lineage: Eukaryota; Metazoa; Arthropoda; Insecta; Lepidoptera; Crambidae. The record is from RefSeq and is a predicted model, not a curated record.
UGCGCUCGUUUGGGGUGUCCAAUAAUCGUGUUAUCUGUAACGAGUUCUCGUAUAUUAAGAAAUUACGUUCCUGGCAACUGAUAACUCUGGGGUCACCGGUUCAUGUCGCAGCCAUUUUGUAGUGGUAUCUCUGGCGUGUCCCGGUACGCUUGUGUCCAUACGUGAUCGAGGCGACUCACUUGUAUCUUUCCAUUUCCCUAUUGUGAAGUUUCAUGGUGCUGCUUGGAAACACCAUCUGGUCUCGCGGUUACGGUGCCUGCAAGGCUCCCAUCAACGGCGCAGUUAAAAUUGAUAAACUCAACACUCUGACGAUUAAGAAUCUACUGUUCAAUCUGUGUAAAGCCUGUCAAAUAAACACCAUGUCCGCGUUCCCUCCCUCGGCGUUCUCUGCUGCCCGUAUCCGGGAGACUCAGCGUGACCGGGACAUGAAGCUUGCCAAUAAUAUGAAAAAAGUUAAUGAUUCUACGAAAUUUUUCGAAACAGCAUUUGGAGAGUUAUCGCCGCUCAAGUACAACAGCAAGCUAAUGAACAGCAUCUGGGGCCUAUACAACCGGUACUCGCCACACAACGUCAAGAAGAUCAACGAGGCUUUCGUUUUCAAUGGAGAUUUGCAGCAAUCUGCUGCAAACUCCAUUAAAAACGGGGAAGCAGUGAUUAGCCUGCCAUCCCGACCCCUAGACAACGUUCGAUUCCUGAAUGGGACAUUCACACAGAAGCCUAACAAUAACUAAGUAUGCUUAAUCGAAGGUAGGCAAGAAAGAUAUGAAAAUUGAAGCAACCUCUCGGGAGAUACUGUUAUGCAACUCGCAACUUUAACUAAAAACGGGGAAGCAGUGAUUAGCCUGCCAUCCCGACCCCUAGACAACGUUCGAUUCCUGAAUGGGACAUUCACACAGAAGCCUAACAAUAACUAAGUAUGCUUAAUCGAAGGUAGGCAAGAAAGAUAUGAAAAUUGAAGCAACCUCUCGGGAGAUACUGUUAUGCAACUCGCAACUU